CAGUAGCCGCGGUAAUACGUAGGUGGCAAGCGUUGUCCGGAAUUAUUGGGCGUAAAGGGCUCGCAGGCGGUUUCUUAAGUCUGAUGUGAAAGCCCCCGGCUCAACCGGGGAGGGUCAUGGGAAACUGGGAAACUUGAGUGCAGAAGAGGAGAGUGGAAUUCCACGUGUAGCGGUGAAAUGCGUAGAGAUGUGGAGGAACACCAGUGGCGAAGGCGACUCUCUGGUCUGUAACUGACGCUGAGGAGCGAAAGCGUGGGGAGCGAACAGGAUUAGAUACCCCCGUAGUCCCUGUCUCUUAUAA
RNAcentral lists this ribosomal RNA (301 nucleotides) under uncultured bacterium. RNAcentral describes it as "partial 16S ribosomal RNA". It matches the Rfam family "Bacterial small subunit ribosomal RNA", at positions 509 to 809 of the family's 1533-position model. The record is from RNAcentral.